UAUUACACAGUAUCGUGUGGGUGAGACCCUGCGUUCAGGUUCGAGCCGAGCGAAGCGAGACAACAACGCGCAGCGUUGACCCGAAGGGCGAGUCCAGAGGACGAGUCAUCCCGCAUGACCCACCA
Molecule: small RNA, 125 nt
Filed under: Yersinia kristensenii
Lineage: Bacteria; Pseudomonadati; Pseudomonadota; Gammaproteobacteria; Enterobacterales; Yersiniaceae
Description: RtT sRNA
Rfam family: RtT RNA
About the family: This family represents a bacterial cis-regulatory element known as RtT RNA.
Source: RNAcentral